Molecule: ribosomal RNA, 600 nt
Filed under: uncultured fungus
Lineage: Eukaryota; Fungi
Description: eukaryotic LSU rRNA
Rfam family: Eukaryotic large subunit ribosomal RNA
Source: RNAcentral
ACCCGCUGAACUUAAGCAUAUCAAUAAGCGGAGGAAAAGAAACCAACCGGGAUUGCCCUAGUAACGGCGAGUGAAGCGGCAACAGCUCAAAUUUGAAAUCGGGCAUUUAUGCUUGAGUUGUAAUUUGCAGAGGGAGCUUUGGUUCUGGCAGCGGUCUAAGUUCCUUGGAACAGGACGUCACAGAGGGUGAGAAUCCCGUACGUGGGCGCUGGCCUUUACCGUGUAAAGCCCCUUCGAUGAGUCGAGUUGUUUGGGAAUGCAGCUCUAAAUGGGAGGUAAAUUUCUUCUAAAGCUAAAUACUGGCCAGAGACCGAUAGCGCACAAGUAGAGUGAUCGAAAGAUGAAAAGUACUUUGGAAAGAGAGUCAAAUAGCACGUGAAAUUGUUGAAAGGGAAGCGCUUGCAGCCAGACUUGCCCGUAGUUGCUUAUCCGGGCUUUUGCCUGGUGCACUCUUCUGCGGGCAGGCCAGCAUCAGUUUGGGCGGUUGGAUAAAGGUCUCUGUCAUGUACCUCUUUUCGGAGAGGCCUUAUAGGGGAGACGACAUGCAACCAGCCCAGACUGAGGUCCGCGCAUUUGCUAGGAUGCUGGCGUAAUGGUGGU